GACGAACCGAGCGAACGUUGUUCGGAAUCACUGGGCUUAAAGGGCGCGUAGGCGGGCUGCCGCGUCCGGGGUGAAAUCCCACGGCUCAACCGUGGAACGGCCCCGGGUACGGGCGGCCUCGAGGAAGGUAGGGGCGUGCGGAACUGUGGGUGGAGCGGUGAAAUGCGUUGAUAUCCACAGGAACUCCGGUGGCGAAGGCGGCACGCUGGACCUUUUCUGACGCUGAGGAGCGAAAGCAUGGGGAGCGAACAGG
RNAcentral lists this ribosomal RNA (253 nucleotides) under uncultured bacterium. RNAcentral's name for it is "partial 16S ribosomal RNA". It matches the Rfam family "Bacterial small subunit ribosomal RNA", at positions 524 to 776 of the family's 1533-position model. The record is from RNAcentral.